RNAcentral lists this ribosomal RNA (1469 nucleotides) under uncultured Bordetella sp. Its description in RNAcentral is "partial 16S-23S ribosomal RNA intergenic spacer". It matches the Rfam family "Bacterial small subunit ribosomal RNA". The record is from RNAcentral. Lineage: Bacteria; Pseudomonadati; Pseudomonadota; Betaproteobacteria; Burkholderiales; Alcaligenaceae.
GGUUCGAUCAUGGCUCAGAUUGAACGGCAGAUGCUUGUAAUAUGCAAAGUCGAACGGCAGCACGGACUUCGGUCUGGUGGCGAAAGGAACGGUGAGUAAUGUAUCGGAACGUGCCUAGUAGCGGGGAUAACUGGCGCGAAAGCGGGUUGGUUAAUGCACAUACUUUCGUAAGCGGGGGACCUCGGGCCUCGCACUAUUAGAGCGGCCGUGAUAAUGGAUUAGCUAGUUGGUGGGGUAACGGCUCACCAAGGCGACGAUCCGUAGCUGGUUUGAGAGGACGACCAGCCACACUGACUGAGACACGGCCCAGACUCCUACGGGAGGCAGCAGUGGGGAAUUUUGGACAAUGGGGAAACUCCCAAUCCAGCUUUCCUUGCAUAUCCCAAGCGGUAAAGAUGAAGGCCUUCGGGUUGUAAAGCACUUUUGGCAGGAAAGAAACGGCACGGGAUAAUACCUCGUGCAACUGAUUUGCAUCGCAGAAUAAGGCCUGGUUAAUCACGCGUGCCAGCAGCCGCGGUAAUACGAAAAGUAAGCGUUAAUCGGAAUUACUGGGCGUAUGCGCAGGCGGUUCGGAAAGAAAGAUGUGAAAUCCCAGAGCUUAACUUUUGAACUGCAUUUUUAACUACCGAGCGAGCGUGUCAGAGGAGGUGGAAUUCCGCGUAGCAGUGAAUGCGUAGAUAUGAUAAUGACCGAUGGCGAAGGCAGCCUCCUGGGAUAACACUGACGCUCAUGCACGAAAGCGAGCAAAACAGAGCGAGAUACUCCUGCGUCCACGCCCUAAACGAUGUCAACUAGCUGUUGGGGCCUUCGGCCUUGGUAGCGCAGCUAACGCGUGAAGUUGACCGCCUGGGGAGUACGGUCGCAAGAUUAAAACUCAAAGGAAUUGACGGGGACUCCGCACAAGCGGUGGAUGAUGUGGAUUAAUUGAUGCAACGCGAAAACCUUACCUACCCUUGACAUGUCUGAAUCCCGAAGAGAUUUGGGAGUGCUCGCAAGAGAACCGGAACACAGGUGCUGCAUGGCUGCCCGUCAGCUCGUGUCGUGAGAUGUUGGGUUAAGUCCCGCAACGAGCGCAACCCUUGUCAUUAGUUGCUACGAUGGGCACUCUAAUGAGACUGCCGGUGACAAACCGGAGGAAGGUGGGGAUGACGUCAAGUCCUCAUGGCCCUUAUGGGUAGGGCUUCACACGUCAUACAAUGGUCGGGACAGAGGGUCGCCAACCCGCGAGGGGGAGCCAAUCCCAGAAACCCGAUCGUAGUCCGGAUCGCAGUCUGCAACUCGACUGCGUGAAGUCGGAAUCGCUAGUAAUCGCGGAUCAGCAUGUCGCGGUGAAUACGUUCCCGGUCUUGUACACACCGCCCGUCACACCACAUGGGAGUGGGUUUUACCAGAAGUAGUUAGCCUAACCGUAAGGGGAGGGCGAUUACCACGGUAGGAUUCAUGACUGGGGUGAAGUCGUAACAAGGUAA